CUGAUCACCACCUGCACUCAUGCAUAUAUCUUUCUACGUAGCACUUUUAAUUCUUCUUCUUACUUUUAUUUUUUCAUGUCUAUUUAAGCGCAAUUUAUGACAGUAUGUUUGCACUGAAGCACCGCAGCAAUUUCCUAAUGUUGUAAACCUGCUCAACAUUUGGCAAUAAAACCCUUUCUGAUUCUGAUUCUGAUAUUUUCUUGGCACAGUUUAGGCCCCUUUGUGUCAACUGCAGCAUCGUUUAACUACCACAGCCUACCUCAGUUUUAUUACUGACCAUGUCCAUCUCUUUAUGACCCUUGUUACGGCCCUAGCAGGGCCUCUUCUUGAAAUUUCCCUUGUGUGGGUGUGGUCUUCUCUCUCCGCCUCCUCCUCUUUUGUUCCUCCCACCCUUCUGUCUCUUUUUCACUCCGCCCUCUUGCCACGACGCACCUGCUGUUCAUUACCCCGUUUGGCACCUGGACCCAGUCAGCAAUCACCUCUUUAUUAUAUAGAUUAUAUAGGCUGGGGAAGAACUGUGUGAUGCAAGUGGUUUUUCCCUAUGGCUCUACAUUGUCUUUUUAGAUGUUGGAAAAGUCCCAAUGCGUGUUUGUCCUACCCGUGGUUUUAAGUUGAGUGAGUAGAUGGGCAUAUAUAGGCCUUGGAAAUGUCUCACCGUGGUGAGGAGUUCAGUUGAGUGAGAAGUGGGAAGUGCCUCUUUGUGUUGUGGAGUUUUUUUUUUUUUUUUUUAGUUGUUUCCUUUGUUGUUUUUGAUCUCUUCUUUUCUUUUUGGCCUUAUUGAUACAGCGACGUUGCUGACUCUUUGUGUUAAGAUUAUUUGCAAUAAAACCAUAUUAUAUGCUAAACACCUCUGUCUGCUUUCCUUUUCAUUCUGUUCUGGACCCAUUUGUUACCGGCCACCACACUCGCAACUCGAAGAAUUCCUUCGUGGGGACGUAACAUGCCAGCAGGAAAACAUGCCAUGUUCCCAAGUGCAGAUCAUCUCAAACUGGUUGCUGGAACAUGAUAAUGAGUUCACUGUACAGGAAUGCCGUCUACAGAUUCAACAGAUCUCAAUAUCUCAAUAGACCACUGGGAUGAGGUGGGUUUGUGACUCAGUGCCACAAAGAAUUAAGAAGGCCCAAUCCUGUACUAGCAAAGUGUACCUAAUAAAGUGCCCAGUGAGUGUAUGUGCAUGAAAAGACAGGGUUAUGCCAGUAGUUAACUUUCUCAUGCCUUAUCUGUCCUUUCUUUAAUAGAUAAAACACUCUGAAUCACAUGUCAAACUGUGGUUACUGAACGUUAUAUUACUGAAACACUGUUGCAGAUAUUAGGCUACAUACAAAAUAGCAAGGGGCACCUCCUCAAUGUGAGUCACUGCUGUACUAUAAGAGUAAUUUUCCACAGCAGGUCUGUGCUUUUCAGAAAACGCUUCAGUGCUC
Long non-coding RNA from Astatotilapia calliptera (eastern happy), 1421 nucleotides. The record is from Ensembl. NCBI's taxonomy places the organism in Eukaryota, Metazoa, Chordata, Actinopteri, Cichliformes, Cichlidae.